Long non-coding RNA from Dermochelys coriacea (leatherback sea turtle), 618 nucleotides. RefSeq lists it as uncharacterized. The transcript is spliced from 2 exons. Lineage: Eukaryota; Metazoa; Chordata; Testudines; Dermochelyidae. The record is from RefSeq and is a predicted model, not a curated record.
CCUGUCACUCCAGUAGCAGUGCCUGCCAUAGACGGCACCAAGAAGGAUCGCUCUCAUAUCUGCCACAUUGGGACAGCAAUCGGUCCUGCUAUCCCCGCUUUCUUUGCUUCGCAAGUUUGCAUAUGGUGUUAAACGAUUGCUACUCUGAAACCUGAAUAGUGUUCAGUGGCAGACGUAUUUAACCCUUGACAUGCUUUACGUAGGCAGGGGGUGGGGGAGGUAUUGCAAUAAAUGUCCUCACAGAUGGACUGGAAAGGGCCUUCACUUCUCUGGAUGGCACAGAGUUAAAAUGUUUGCCUGCAGUGGGUCCUACCAAAGGUAAGCAAAAUAGCAACAAGGCAACUAAAUAAAGAAGGUGACAACACAGCAUAAAGAUGAAGCAACCACCCAGCCCAGUGCUGUUUCUAUGAAGUGAUGACAUCACCAAAACUUCUGAGAUGCAGUUUGCAAAACCACUGCCAAGGGUUUAGAUGUAUUUUUUUCUUGAAGUGAUUUUAAUGGAAUAUUGAAAUGCCAUUGUAAUUUAAGAUAUUAAGAGUUUCUCCUGUUUAAACACUAGACUGUACUCCUGGAAAGGAGAAAUAAGUGAAUCUUGGUAAACAAAGAGAAAUAACAUUU